GAUUUGCAUCAAAUUUGUUUAAUUAUCUAAAGUAAUGGAGGAAGAUAAUGAAUCAGUUAUCGUGCAAGUGUUGGAUCGCAGGGUAAAUGUUGGAACAACAUUUCCCCUAUCACCAACGAUGUCCUGUAAACCAUAGCGCGACCAAAACAAACUUUGUGACACAAUAGGCGAUGAAAUGGUAAGGGUAGCAUGAAUGCUCACAUCAGCUGCGUACACAUUAAAAGCAUCUAUUUCUAUUGGACUUGAAUGAUCUCUAUCACCAAAUUUGAAUGCAAUGAUACAUAUAUUAAAAUUUUCAAUUCUGUGCAUCUUUUGAAGACUUUUGUCGAGGGUGUUCAAAA
Ostrea edulis (European flat oyster) is the source of this 341-nucleotide long non-coding RNA. RefSeq lists it as uncharacterized. The transcript has 2 exons. The record is from RefSeq and is a predicted model, not a curated record. Lineage: Eukaryota; Metazoa; Mollusca; Bivalvia; Ostreida; Ostreidae.